Dromaius novaehollandiae (emu) is the source of this 629-nucleotide long non-coding RNA. RefSeq lists it as uncharacterized. Lineage: Eukaryota; Metazoa; Chordata; Aves; Casuariiformes; Dromaiidae. The transcript has 3 exons. The record is from RefSeq and is a predicted model, not a curated record.
UCAAAUGCCUGAGGGGAGUCAAAGAUAAAGUGCCCCAGGGCCACUAUUCCCUCAGAGUUUCUGUUCUCAGCCGCUUAGGUGGUGGCUUACUGCAGUGGCCCAGACUGAAGGAACAGCCCUGGGCCAGAACAACGCUGCCUGUUAGGCACGAUGGAAACUUCUACAACACUGAAAUCUACUUUGGACAGAGUAUCCAAACAGUUCUGCCACCCAGAAAGGCUAUGAAUCCAGGCAUGGUACUACUCUUUGAACUCUUCCUUCUUCGUGGAACCUGGGCUUGCAUUGAUCGAGAAGUAGGAUGGGGGGCUUUCCCCUUAUGUGACAACAAUUUUAACGCUUUAGAGGGAAAGUUUAAAUGCCCCUUCCUCAGAGGCCGUUAUAAUUCCAAAGUUGACCAAUUCAAAAAAAUUGAAAAGUUUUUUUCCCUGGACUUGGACCACUGGUUAUGCAAUCUCUAUUUUCAGAUAAUUAAACUACCACAGGAUUCAGAUAAGCAAAAUGAGUGUGAUAUGCAUCUUCGUCUCCAACCUGAACUUCUCACAUCUACAAGCAUUGCAGAAAAGAAUGGUGUUUUGGAGAAGGUUAAAUUGUCUAGACCACGAGGUGAUGGAUUCAAACUUUCAUGUUUA